UCCGCAACGAGCGCAACCCCUGCAUUCAGUUGCCAUCGGGUAAUGCCGGGCACUCUGGAAGGACUGCCAUCGACAAGAUGGAGGAAGGUGGGGAUGACGUCAAGUCAUCAUGGCCCUUAUGUCCAGGGCGACACACGUGCUACAAUGGCCGGCACAACGGGAAGCGAGUUCGCGAGGACGAGCGGAUCCCUCAAAGCCGGUCGCAGUUCGGAUUGAAGUCUGCAACUCGACUUCAUGAAGCUGGAAUCGCUAGUAAUCGUGGAUCAGCCAAGCCGCGGUGAAUACGUUCCCGGGCCUU
Molecule: ribosomal RNA, 298 nt
Filed under: uncultured Synergistaceae bacterium
Lineage: Bacteria; Thermotogati; Synergistota; Synergistia; Synergistales; Synergistaceae
Description: partial 16S ribosomal RNA
Rfam family: Bacterial small subunit ribosomal RNA
Source: RNAcentral